This 253-nucleotide ribosomal RNA is filed under the name uncultured bacterium. RNAcentral's name for it is "partial 16S ribosomal RNA". It matches the Rfam family "Bacterial small subunit ribosomal RNA", at positions 524 to 776 of the family's 1533-position model. The record is from RNAcentral.
UACGAAGGGUGCAAGCGUUACUCGGAAUUACUGGGCGUAAAGCGUGCGUAGGCGGUUUGUUAAGUCUGUCGUGAAAGCCCCGGGCUCAACCUGGGAAUGGCGAUGGAUACUGGCGAGCUAGAGUACGGUAGAGGAGAGUGGAAUUCCCGGUGUAGCAGUGAAAUGCGCAGAUAUCAGGAGGAACACCGGUGGCGAAGGCGGAUCUCUGGGCCAUUACUGACGCUGAGGAGCGAAAGCGUGGGGAGCGAACAGG